GCUAUGGGGCAGGGAGAGCUGUGGGGCUGAGCUAGUUGUGGGUCAGGGGAACUGUGGGGCUGAGCUAGCUGUGGGUCAGGAGAGCUAUGGGGCAGAGCUAGUUGUGGGGCUGAGCUAGCUGUGGGUCAGGGGAGCUUUGUGGGUCCAGGGGGAGCUGUGGGGCAGAGCUAGCUGUGGGGCUGAGCUUGCUGUGGGGCAGAGCUAGCUAUGGGUCAGGGGAGCUGUGGGGCAGAGCUAGCUAUGGGUCAGGGGGAGCUGUGGGGCUGAGCCAGCAGUGGGGCUGAGCUAGCUGUGGGUCAGGGGAGCUCUGUGGGUCAGGGG
Cygnus olor (mute swan) is the source of this 321-nucleotide long non-coding RNA. RefSeq lists it as uncharacterized. The record is from RefSeq and is a predicted model, not a curated record. NCBI's taxonomy places the organism in Eukaryota, Metazoa, Chordata, Aves, Anseriformes, Anatidae. The transcript has 3 exons.